This is a long non-coding RNA of Bactrocera neohumeralis, 1893 nucleotides long. RefSeq lists it as uncharacterized. The transcript is spliced from 4 exons. The record is from RefSeq and is a predicted model, not a curated record. Lineage: Eukaryota; Metazoa; Arthropoda; Insecta; Diptera; Tephritidae.
UAAAAAAAUCGCAUGCGAGUUCUCUUAUUUGACACCUCUAUCGCCAAAUUGCUGCUAAAACAACUAACAUUACAAUGAGAAGCAAAAACACCUACCAUAAUGCAGUAGGCAUGUAACGAGUGCAUUACUUCUUCGCGAUGCUGCGAUGAGCAAACGCAAACGAAGGUGGACAAAAACAACGGACGCCUUCUCCAUAUUCAGACUGCACCACAAACAACUUACAAUAAACACAACAGCAUUGCCGCUGUCGUGGAGUUUCUCUACGAAGUCACUUAACAUGGGCUCAGCGUCAGUCAAAUGGAAAUCUUCAAUCGCGUUCGGUCAAUGGUCAAAUUGUCAAUAAUGAGCUCGUGUUGUCAACGCGUACGAAAUUAAUAGUAAAAGUGCUUUUUAAAUUAUUUUAUUUGAUUUAAAAUCUUGAGUCGGAGUUGUGCAAAUUAUAUGAAAAGUUAAAUUAAGUGUGAAAAGUUGUAAGUAUUCUACAUAUUAAAAGCAAAAAAAUGUGUGCGAAGUGAAAUAAAAUAGUGUGCAUAGGUAAUGUGGUUUUCUGUGAUAUGUGUUAAUGCUUGUUAAUGGUGUUAAUAACGAAGGGAGUGCAAAUCAAAUAUUCUAUAUCAUUUAUAAAUCGUGAUGUAGUGAAUUAGUGAAAUAAUUUCUUUUUAAAUAUAUUUCUUAAAAUGUGAAGUCGCUGCGUUCGUUUUUUCGGUGUUCGUCUAUAGUCGUUUUCUAAUAAACCAACAACGUCGUUCGCACAAACAAACAAAUAAUAUCGGUGCAGCAGAGUAAUAAAUUUUUUGCUGUAAAACGUAAAGGUUUGGCGAAUUUCGCUCGAAAUGAGAGUAAUCGUUUACAUAAGGAAUUUUACUAAGAUGAGGAUGUUGAUUUGGACGGCCUUUGGUUUCAAGACCGCGGUACAUGCCAUACAGUCAAUUAAAUUAUUGAGAGAAGCUUUUGGUGGGCACAUUACAAGUAUCUCGUGUCGUGGACCUGUUGACCUGUGGAGAUAUGUGACGUCACUUGUCCAAGCCCAUAAGCAGCAGAUGAAACAAUUGAUUCCUUGGAAAAGAAAAUUCAUCGCGUUAUUGCUGAUAUACGGACACGAUUUCUGCAAAAAGUGGUCGAAAAUUAGGCCUGUCGACUAAAAUUUGAGACAGCCGCGGAAAACAUUUUCCCAAAAACAUUUUUAAAACUUAAUGGCGACCAUUAAUCUAGCUUUAUAAUAUAAAGAAAUCGUUUUAAAAAAUCGUUUUUGAAAAUCACAUGUCUCAAAACACACUCUUAUAAGAAAAAUCUAUAAUAACUUCAAGUAAAAAAUAAUAAUAAUAAAAAUUUAUACAAAUUUACGAAAUUCUUGUGUGGCUCUCAUUGGUAUCUUGAAGACUCAACAGCAUCAAAUGAUGACAGCUGCGUAACGAAAUAAAAAGUAACGGAAUAUGCAACAUGAAACCAAUUCUGUCCUCGACCAUGCUUAAGCAUUUGUGAGGUAAAUCACAACAUCACAACAAAAACAAAAUAAGUAAAAGAAACAAUGUUUGGCUUUAACUAUAUAUGUAUAUAUACAGACAUACAGGUAUACUUUCGUACGGAGUAGGUUGUUCACCUGACUCACACGGUUUCCAGUUAGUAGACGACAAAACAAAAACUAGCAAUAAAGCGCAAAGUACGGCAGCUGUUGUGAAAAAUUAACGGUAUUAACAUUGCAAAGUAAUGCUUGAAAAUGAAGUGGAAAACAAAAAUGAGAUAAGACAAGACAGACAAACAAAACAAAAAAUGUCUGAAAGUGUGCAGAGCCAGCAAUCAAAACGUCCGCGUUUCAAGAGGUUUAAAGGUUAUCGCGGCUUGGAAAGCACACACACACACAUCAACAGUUUAUACUUAGAUUACCACAAAAGU